Molecule: ribosomal RNA, 94 nt
Filed under: uncultured bacterium
Lineage: Bacteria
Description: partial 16S ribosomal RNA
Source: RNAcentral
AGCGGGGAGGAAGGUGUUGUGGUUAAUAACCUCGGCGAUUGACGUUACCCGCAGAAGAAGCACCGGCUUACUCCAUGCAAGCAGCCGCGGUAAU